This 420-nucleotide ribosomal RNA is filed under the name uncultured bacterium. Its description in RNAcentral is "bacterial SSU rRNA". It matches the Rfam family "Bacterial small subunit ribosomal RNA", at positions 355 to 774 of the family's 1533-position model. The record is from RNAcentral.
UAAGGAAUAUUGCUCAAUGGGAGAAAUCCUGAAGCAGCAACGCCGCGUGGAGGAUGAAGGGUCUAUGACUUGUAAACUCCUGUAAAGAAGGAAAAAAUUCCCAUUAGAUGGGAGAUGAUGGUACUUCUGGAGUAAGCCCCGGCUAACUACGUGCCAGCAGCCGCGGUAAUACGUAGGGGGCAAGCGUUGUCCGGAUUUACUGGGUGUAAAGGGUGCUCAGGCGGAUCUGUAAGUCAGAGGUGAAAUCUUACAGCUUAACUGUGAAACUGCCUUUGAUACUGCAAGCCUAGAGUAUGGAAGAGAGUGAUGGAAUAUCUGGUGUAGCAGUGAAAUGCGUAGAUAUCAGAUAGAACACCAAGGGCGAAGGCAGUCACUUGGUCCAUUACUGACGCUAAAGCACGAAAGCGUGGGUAGCAAACA